RNAcentral lists this long non-coding RNA (217 nucleotides) under Mytilus galloprovincialis (Mediterranean mussel). Lineage: Eukaryota; Metazoa; Mollusca; Bivalvia; Mytilida; Mytilidae. The record is from RNAcentral.
AUUCCUAAACUGUUGGGACCAAAACUCCCAAAAUCAAACCCAACCUUCCUUUAGUGGUCAUAAACCUUGUGUUUAAAUUUCAUAGAUUUCUAUCUACUUAAACUAAAGUUAUGGUGCGAAAACCAAGAAUAAUGCUUACUUGGGCCCCUUUUUGGCCCCUUAUUCCUAAACUGUUCAGACCUCAACUCCCAAAAUCAAUACCAACCUUCCUUUUGUG